This 253-nucleotide ribosomal RNA is filed under the name uncultured bacterium. Its description in RNAcentral is "partial 16S ribosomal RNA". It matches the Rfam family "Bacterial small subunit ribosomal RNA", at positions 524 to 776 of the family's 1533-position model. The record is from RNAcentral.
GACGUAGGGCGCGAGCGUUGUCCGGAUUUAUUGGGCGUAAAGAGCUCGUAGGCGGCUUGUCGCGUCGACUGUGAAAACUUGGGGCUCAACCCCAAGCUUGCAGUCGAUACGGGCAGGCUAGAGUUCGGUAGGGGAGACUGGAAUUCCUGGUGUAGCGGUGAAAUGCGCAGAUAUCAGGAGGAACACCGAUGGCGAAGGCAGGUCUCUGGGCCACUACUGACGCUGAGAAGCGAAAGCAUGGGGAGCGAACAGG